ACGGAGCUCCAUUGCCGCUGAAUGGUGGCCAAACCAUUAUCCCCAGCAUCUGGCUUCGCUCGCUCUCCUCCCCCUUCCGUGUCGCAGGGCAGGGGAGCCGACAACCUGUGGGUGGGGACGGAGGGGUAGCCUGGCCCGGAGCUCCCGGCCUCCUGUCCCUGUGUCCCCUUGCUCAGCCUCACGCUUCCCCACAGGCGGUGUUGGCACCCCCUCCCUUCCCCAGAGACCUCGGCGGGACUCAUGGGGGACCUCUGGAAGGAGUGGGUUGGGGGCCUUGGGAGGCUGAGGGAGCAGGGAGACCUGACCGAGGUCACAGCGGACAGUUGGUCAGAGCGAUGGAGAACUCAAGAGGCGUUGAGCUCCGUGAGUGACAACUUUGUGGAGACACGGCCCAGCUGAGGAGGGUGCUGGUUGCAGAAGACAGCGGCCAUCCUGUGGGGUCCUGGGCGCCCGUUUGCAUUUAUUUGUAACCCCCCAAAAAGAGACAGAUGCGUGGCAGCCUGGCUCCGUGCAAUGCGGAUGGAUACAAAGGUCACAUGGAUGAGGGUACUGAUGUAGGAGGGGCUGACAGCCUCGAUGGAUUUGGACUUUGGACGAGGAGAGACCAGGCCCUGGAUGUGGCCCUGGAUGUGGCUGAAGGCACAGCGUGACCCGUGGCGAAGACCAGCCUCUGGUGCUGUUGAGC
Molecule: long non-coding RNA, 685 nt
Organism: Myotis davidii
Lineage: Eukaryota; Metazoa; Chordata; Mammalia; Chiroptera; Vespertilionidae
Exons: 4
Source: RefSeq, a predicted model, not a curated record